Molecule: ribosomal RNA, 497 nt
Filed under: uncultured bacterium
Lineage: Bacteria
Description: partial 16S ribosomal RNA
Rfam family: Bacterial small subunit ribosomal RNA
Source: RNAcentral
GAUGAACGCUGGCGGCGUGCCUAAUACAUGCAAGUCGAGCGAACGGACGAGAAGCUUGCUUCUCUGAUGUUAGCGGCGGACGGGUGAGUAACACGUGGAUAACCUACCUAUAAGACUGGGAUAACUUCGGGAAACCGGAGCUAAUACCGGAUAAUAUUUUGAACCGCAUGGUUCAAAAGUGAAAGACGGUCUUGCUGUCACUUAUAGAUGGUUCCGCGCUGCAUUAGCUAGUUGGUAAGGUAACGGCUUACCAAGGCAACGAUGCAUAGCCGACCGGAGAGGGGGAUCGGCCACACGAGAACUGAGACACGCUCCAGACGCCUACGGGAGGCAGCAGUAGGGAAUCUUCCGCAAUGGGCGAAAGCCUGACGGAGCGACGCCGCGUGAGUGAUGAAGGUCUUCGGAGCGUAAAACUCUGUUAUGAGGGAAAAACAUAUGUGUAAGUAACUGUGCACAUCGUGACGGUACCUAGUCAGAAAGCCACGGCUAACUACGUG